AUGGAGCGAGUGUCUGGGUUGCUUUCCUGGACGCUGAGCAGGGUCCUAUGGCUCUCAGGGUUUUCUGAGCACGGAGCUGCCUGGCAGCCCCAGAUCAUGGAAGAGAAAGCGCUAGAAGUUUAUGAUUUGAUUUGAACUAUCCAGGACCCAGAAAAGCCCAAUGCUUUAGAAGAACUGGAAGUGGUCACAGAGAGUUGUGUGGAAGUUCAAGAAAUAAAUGAAGAUAACUAUUUGGUUAUUAUCAAGUUCACACCAACAGUGCCUCAUUGCUCUUUGGCAACUCUUAUUGGGCUGUGCUUAAGAGUAAAGCUCUAGCGGUGUCUGCCGUUCACUGGACAGAAGAAGAUAUCAACAAGCAGAUAAAUGACAAAGAGCAAGUGGCAGCUGCAAUGGAGAACCCCAACCUUCGGGAAAUCGUGGAACAGUGCAUCCUCAAGCCGGAAUGA
This 446-nucleotide long non-coding RNA is filed under the name Mus musculus (house mouse). RNAcentral describes it as "long non-coding RNA chr2:53551925-53552371". The record is from RNAcentral. Lineage: Eukaryota; Metazoa; Chordata; Mammalia; Rodentia; Muridae.